Molecule: ribosomal RNA, 396 nt
Filed under: uncultured bacterium
Lineage: Bacteria
Description: bacterial SSU rRNA
Rfam family: Bacterial small subunit ribosomal RNA
Source: RNAcentral
GUGUCAGCAGCCGCGGUAAGACGUAGGGGGCGAGCGUUGUCCGGAUUUAUUGGGCGUAAAGCGCGCGUAGGCGGCCGCGCAAGUCGGAUGUGAAAACCCGGGGCUCAACCCCGGGCGUGCAUUCGAUACUGCGCGGCUCGAGACAGGUAGGGGAGAUCGGAAUUCCUGGUGUAGCGGUGAAAUGCGCAGAUAUCAGGAGGAACACCGGUGGCGAAGGCGGAUCUCUGGGCCUGUUCUGACGCUGAGGCGCGAAAGCUAGGGGAGCGAACAGGAUUAGAUACCCUGGUAGUCCUAGCCGUAAACGUUGGGUGCUAGGUGUGGGGGGAUAUCGACCCCUUCCGUGCCGAAGCUAACGCAUUAAGCACCCCGCCUGGGGAGUACGGCCGCAAGGCUAAA